This 689-nucleotide long non-coding RNA is filed under the name Salvia miltiorrhiza (redroot sage). RNAcentral's name for it is "long non-coding RNA (SMIL_LNC000103)". The record is from RNAcentral. Lineage: Eukaryota; Viridiplantae; Streptophyta; Magnoliopsida; Lamiales; Lamiaceae.
CACCACCGCCGCCGAGCCCUCCCUCCCGCCGUCAGCCACUUCCCCCUCCCCAGAACCGCGGCGCACCCGCCACCUCCACCAACCAAACCAACCGGAUUUCCCACCACCACCGUUUUCCCUCACCUCCACAGAUUUGCAGAUCUAGGGUCUGUGCUUGGCCGUGAGCGGCGGCGGCCCUUGACCAGCUAGGGUUCAGCCUUUGGUUGAAAGAGAAGGCUAAAGUUGAGCCUUUGAGCGGGAAUGGGAGGCCCUUGAUGAAGGCGGCGAUGGCUCAGAUCUCGACGUCCGCCGAGAAUCGAAGAGAGGAGGUGGUAGGCUCUCCUGGAUCCGACGGCGAAGCCUGAUAGGCUGGCUAGAGGCGGCGGCGGGCUCUAUCGCGGCGGUUUUCAGACCACUCUUAUCCGUCAAGUCCGGAUGGUGACCGGAGAAGGAGGUGGGAGCUCCUGAGUUUUCGAAUCUGAAACUGUGAGUGGGUGCUGCGGUGAGUCGCGCGGUUUGACUGAGCAACAGAUCUAGGUGGUGCGUGCCGCGGAGGCUCUGGAUCUGCACGAUUUCGCCCGACUCUCGCCGGCUUCUGUUCGGGCGGCGGCGAGCUGCUGUGCUCGGGCAGCGUCAUGGCGCGGCUGGCGCAUCGAUGGGAAGGUGGCUGUGAUGGGGCGCACCGCCGAGAGCAGCGAUGCGGUUCUGGG